GACGAACGCUGGCGGCGCGCCUAACACAUGCAAGUCGAACGGAGUCAAGAGGAGCUUGCUUUUCUUGACUUAGUGGCGAACGGGUGAGUAACGCGUGAGUAACCUGCCCUGGAGUGGGGGACAACAGUUGGAAACGACUGCUAAUACCGCAUAAGCCCACGGAUCUGCAUGGAUCUGCGGGAAAAGGAUUUAUUCGCUCUAGGAUGGACUCGCGUCCAAUUAGCUAGUUGGUGAGGUAACGGCCCACCAAGGCGACGAUUGGUAGCCGGACUGAGAGGUUGAACGGCCACAUUGGGGCUGAGACACGGCCCAGACUCCUACGGGAGGCAGCAGUGGGGGAUAUUGCACAAUGGGGGAAACCCUGAUGCAGCGACGCCGCGUGGAGGAAGAAGGUUUUCGGAUUGUAAACUCCUGUCGUUAGGGACGAUAAUGACGGUACCUAACAAGAAAGCACCGGCUAACUACGUG
Molecule: ribosomal RNA, 468 nt
Filed under: uncultured bacterium
Lineage: Bacteria
Description: partial 16S ribosomal RNA
Rfam family: Bacterial small subunit ribosomal RNA
Source: RNAcentral